This 372-nucleotide ribosomal RNA is filed under the name uncultured organism. Its description in RNAcentral is "partial 16S ribosomal RNA". It matches the Rfam family "Bacterial small subunit ribosomal RNA", at positions 527 to 896 of the family's 1533-position model. The record is from RNAcentral.
GUAGGUGGCAAGCGUUGUCCGGAAUUAUUGGGCGUAAAGCGCGCGCAGGCGGUUCUUUAAGUCUGAUGUGAAAGCCCACGGCUCAACCGUGGAGGGUCAUUGGAAACUGGAGAACUUGAGUACAGAAGAGGAAAGCGGAAUUCCACGUGUAGCGGUGAAAUGCGUAGAGAUGUGGAGGAACACCAGUGGCGAAGGCGGCUUUCUGGUCUGUAACUGACGCUGAGGCGCGAAAGCGUGGGGAGCAAACAGGAUUAGAUACCUUGGUAGUCCACGCCGUAAACGAUGAGUGCUAAGUGUUAGGGGGUUUCCGCCCCCCUUAGUGCUGCAGCUAACGCAUUAAGCACUCCGCCUGGGAGUACGGCCGCAAGGCUG